This 468-nucleotide ribosomal RNA is filed under the name uncultured bacterium. RNAcentral's name for it is "partial 16S ribosomal RNA". It matches the Rfam family "Bacterial small subunit ribosomal RNA", at positions 28 to 507 of the family's 1533-position model. The record is from RNAcentral.
GACGAACGCUGGCGGCGUGCUUAACACAUGCAAGUCGAACGGAAAGGCCCUGCUUUUGUGGGGUGCUCGAGUGGCGAACGGGUGAGUAACACUUGAGUAACCUGCCCUUGACUUUGGGAUAACUUCAGGAAACUGGGGCUAAUACCGGAUAGGAGCUCCUGCUGCAUGGUGGGGGUUGGAUAGUUUCGGCGGUUGGGGAUGGACUCGCGGCUUAUCAGCUUGUUGGUGGGGUAGUGGCUUACCAAGGCUUUGACGGGUAGCCGGCCUGGGAGGGUGACCGGCCACAUUGGGACUGAGAUACGGCCCAGACUACUACGGGAGGCAGCAGUGGGGAAUAGUGCACAAUGGGCGGAAGGCUGAUGCAGCAACGCAGCGUGCGGGAUGACGGCCUUCGGGUUGUAAACCGCUUUCGCCUGUGACGAAGCGUGAGUGACGGUAAUGGGUAAAGAAGCACCGGCUAACUACGUG